GACGAACGCUGGCGGCGGGCUUAACACAUGCAAGUCGAACGGACAGUCCCUGCUUUUUUGCGGUGCUCGGGUUGCGAACGGGGGAGUUGCACUUGGGUAACCUGCCCCUGAGGUUGGGUUAUCUUCAGGAAGCUUGGGCUAAUACCGGGUAGGAUCUCCUGCUGCUUGGUGGGGGUUGGAAAGUUUAGGCGGUUGGGGAUGGACUCGCGGCCUAUCAGCUUGGUGGUGGGGUAGUGGAUUACCAAGGCUUUGCCGGGUAGCCGGCCUGAGAGGGUGACCGGCCACAUCGGGACUGGGCUGCGGCACAGACUAGUACGGGAGGCAGCAGUGGGGAAUAUUGCACAAUGGGAGGAAGGAUGAUGCAGCAACGCCGCGUGGGGGAUGACGGCAUGCGGGUUGUAAACCGAUUUCGUCUGUGACGAAGCGUGAGUGACGGUAAUGGGUAAAGAAGCACCGGCUAACUACGUG
This 468-nucleotide ribosomal RNA is filed under the name uncultured bacterium. RNAcentral's name for it is "partial 16S ribosomal RNA". It matches the Rfam family "Bacterial small subunit ribosomal RNA", at positions 28 to 507 of the family's 1533-position model. The record is from RNAcentral.